AAGUCCUGUUGUGAUAUGACUAAUUAAAACUCAGCACGGAUUUAAUGCCAAUAAUAAUUGGGUAGGACAAUGAUUUUCUUAUAGGAUCUCCUUUCCCGACUGGGCAGUCGAUCUCCAGCACCAGGGAGCCUGAAAUACGUUAAACAAUUCCUUCACUCCAACCAGAUUAUCGCUAGCUUUGGCCUCCUUGACAGUUCUGCAUGCUCACG
RNAcentral lists this long non-coding RNA (209 nucleotides) under Hordeum vulgare. RNAcentral's name for it is "long non-coding RNA (HVUL_LNC014538)". Lineage: Eukaryota; Viridiplantae; Streptophyta; Magnoliopsida; Poales; Poaceae. The record is from RNAcentral.